GUCAUGCAUGACUUGAUAUGUCAAUUUGAAAAUUACAGUACUCACAGAGGAUUGGCUCCCUGAGGAGCUGGCAGGAAUACAUAGAAAUACUAUGAUUACCCAGAAAUACUGCGUUUAGUAGAAAUAUUAUGUUUUAGCACAAAUACUAUAAAAUGGCUGAAAUAGUAUGAUUUAGCACAAAUGCUGUAUUUAGCACAAAUACUGAAAAGCAGCAGAAAUGCUAUGACUUAGCACAAUAGUAAUAACUGAAAUAGAAAAAUUGGAAAAGCAAAAUGAACAGCUGAAAAAAAUGCUGAACAUUCUAAGGCUCCCUCAAAUGUAAUUGUUGAAUGAAAAAAAAAUCAGCAAAAAAAAAGUAUAACAGUCACACAAUCAAAAAUAUGGACACAUAUGGAAACACACAUGCACAGAGAGACACAGGAUCAAAUUCAGUCAACCAGUCUAAAUAUAUUGAAUUUAAAUCAUACAAUAAGAUGCUCCCAUAAAAACGCUCUCUCGCCCUCUCUUUCUCUCUCUCUCUGUCACACACACACACACACACACACACACACACACACACACACACUAGCAGCAGCAGCAGCCAAAUAGCCUGGGAGCUGCUGAAUUUGAAUCCACCAAUCAGAGAGGCUGUAUACUUUUUCCCGCCAAAACAGGUGCAGCUGUUUUUACACACAUGCAGCACAGAGACAGGAUUUGUGCUGUCUAUUUUUCAUAGUGAGGAUUCCCCUCAAACAAAUGGCUAUAAUUUCCUAACCGUAGGGGCUAGAACAGUCAUUCUUACACCGUUUUGUUCAGAAGAGAUGGGGGGAUCUUAACGUAUUGACAAUUUAUCAUUACAAUAUGAAUUAUUGAAGAUAUUUGACUUCUAAUGUACCAUAACUGAGUAGAGGCAAAGCGAAAACUGCCUUGACAUGCCCUCAAACAAUGCUUUCUAACUCUAAAUCUAUUUGGAGUAUCGAUAUCAUUCUUUCACCGUAAGAGACAGCAGGCUUUGGUGAACAAUCAUGGAAAUUUUCAGGUCUGUGUGGAAAUCCAUCAAAAAGAUAUGACGAGAGAAAAAAGUGCCUCAUUUCCAGAGUUUGAAAUCUGAAGAAAUCUGAGCGAGGGAUGAAUUUCCUACCCUCAAACAAACCCAAUUCAUG
Long non-coding RNA from Oreochromis aureus, 1142 nucleotides. The record is from Ensembl. NCBI's taxonomy places the organism in Eukaryota, Metazoa, Chordata, Actinopteri, Cichliformes, Cichlidae.